CGCGUAUACAACCUACCUUUUAGCGGGGAAUAGCCCAGGGAAACUUGGAUUAAUGCCCCAUAGUAUAUGGACUUCUCCUGAAGUUUAUAUUAAACAUUUAUGGCUAUUAGAUGGGGUAUGCGUCCUAUUAGUUAGUUGGUAAGGUAACGGCUUACCAAGGCAGCGAUAGGUAGGGGUCCUGAGAGGGAGAUCCCCCACACUGGUACUGAGACACGGACCAGACUCCUACGGGAGGCAGCAGUGAGGAAUAUUGGACAAUGGGCGAGAGCCUGAUCCAGCCAUGCCGCGUGCAGGAAGACU
This 300-nucleotide ribosomal RNA is filed under the name uncultured Salegentibacter sp. Its description in RNAcentral is "bacterial SSU rRNA". It matches the Rfam family "Bacterial small subunit ribosomal RNA", at positions 114 to 413 of the family's 1533-position model. Lineage: Bacteria; Pseudomonadati; Bacteroidota; Flavobacteriia; Flavobacteriales; Flavobacteriaceae. The record is from RNAcentral.